CGUCGUCCAUUUGCUGGGGGCAGAUAAAGUGGAUGUGGCUGUCGAACCCGCCGGCCGUCAGGAUACGGCCCUCACCGGCGAUGGCCUCGGUUCCGGGGCCGACGACGAUGUCGACGCCGGGUUGCGUGUCGGGGUUGCCGGCCUUGCCGAUCUUGUGGAUGCGCCCGUCCUUGAGGCCCACGUCGGCCUUAUAGAUCCCGGUGUGAUCGACGAUCAGGGCAUUGGUGAUAACAGUGUCCACUGCGCCUUGGGCACGGGUGGCUUGUGACUGGCCCAUGCCGUCACG
RNAcentral lists this small RNA (286 nucleotides) under Thalassobacter sp. 16PALIMAR09. Its description in RNAcentral is "5' ureB small RNA". It matches the Rfam family "5' ureB small RNA". Lineage: Bacteria; Pseudomonadati; Pseudomonadota; Alphaproteobacteria; Rhodobacterales; Roseobacteraceae. The record is from Rfam by way of RNAcentral.